AAAACCUUCAGAAGGAAAGGA
Molecule: microRNA, 21 nt
Filed under: Equus caballus (horse)
Lineage: Eukaryota; Metazoa; Chordata; Mammalia; Perissodactyla; Equidae
Description: eca-miR-703
Gene: eca-miR-703
Source: miRBase by way of RNAcentral